Corvus hawaiiensis (hawaiian crow) is the source of this 273-nucleotide long non-coding RNA. RefSeq lists it as uncharacterized. The record is from RefSeq and is a predicted model, not a curated record. The transcript has 3 exons. NCBI's taxonomy places the organism in Eukaryota, Metazoa, Chordata, Aves, Passeriformes, Corvidae.
AGACCGCUCAAGUCCUGAGUGCUGCACUGAGCAAGAGUGAAAUUUCCAAAGGGGCUCUGAAGAAAGACUUGGACAUCCUGAAGGAAAGGCUUCGUCUCCAGCAGGCUGUUGGAGCAGAAGGGAAGCGGCUGUCAGAGCGCUCCAGGAAGGGUGUGGAAUGUGUGCGGGACCAGGUUGCAGCAGCAGCAAAAGACAAGCCAGAGAAGCGUGAGCUCAGGAGAACUUUUGAGGUGGAACCUGAAGGGAGGAGUGUCCAGAGAAUCUUUAGGAAAG